Molecule: unclassified non-coding RNA, 3750 nt
Filed under: Acyrthosiphon pisum (pea aphid)
Lineage: Eukaryota; Metazoa; Arthropoda; Insecta; Hemiptera; Aphididae
Description: splicing factor 3B subunit 1, transcript variant X1
Source: RNAcentral
CCACAAAAUAUCAUCGAUUAUAAUUGUUUGUUCAAUCGCGUUUUUAUUCGUUUUCGUGCGUUUGUAUUAUAAUUUUAAUAAUAAUUUACUUUAAUAAAAUAUAGGUAUUAAUAUAUAACAAUAAUAUCGUUCGGUUUUUUCACCGUCCAGGCCGCUCUCGCCUGUGAAUCGCUAACGCUUAGGGUAGCGAAUCGAAACGUGUUCGUUGUUGUCUUACCGAGUAGUAUAGUAAGGGUACGUACAGCGAAUAACAAUAAAAAUAAAAAUAAAAAAAACCGGGAACUGACGAUAAUUCUGUUGACGGCGGCCGCUCACCAUGACCACGCACGCGGAUAUCGAGGCGCAAAUACGCGAGAUUCAGCAGCGCAAAAAAGAUGAGAAACAGAAAGAGGACGACAGCGACGUGGGACUCGGGGCUUCCGGCUUUUUUGACCAAGACAUUUACAACGGUGGCGGCAAGUUCGAGGGUUAUGUUACGUCUAUUGCCCCCAACGACGAGUACGAUGAUGAAGAUAUUGAUGAUCAACAUUAUAGAAAUAAAAAGCCUAUAACAGCACCAGCAGCUGCUCUUAAAGAAAUUGCACAGGCAAGAGAUGAUGAAGAUGACUAUGAUCCUUUUGCUGAAAGAAAACGUCUUCAAAAGGCAACAUCAGACAAAGAUGAUGAUACUCGUCAAGUUCGUAGGCCUAUGGUUAUAUCGCCAGAACGUAUUGACCCAUUUGCUGAAGGAGGAAAAACUCCAGAUGUUGGGUCCAGAACAUACUCACAAAUUAUGCAAGAACAAAAGUUAAAGGGUGAAGAGAAUGAAGUACGGAAAACAAUUAUAGAUAAAGCUAAAGAUGGUAAUCUUAAAACUAAUGGGGACUCUAAAGGUACAGUCAGGAAAAGAGGGCGAUGGGAUCAAGUUGUGCAAAAUGGUGACUCCUCAGGAGUGCCCGCCAAAAAGAAAACUAAUUCCACUCCUUGGGAAGAAACACCUAAAGGUGGUUUAUCACGUUGGGAUGAAACUCCUGGACCUACUAAAAUGGGAGCAGAAACACCGGGUGCUACACCUGGUCAAAGCACUAGAAUGUGGGAUGCGACACCGGGACACACUACUCCAGCUGCAGGAGCCGCAACACCUGGUCGCGAUACUCCAGGUCAUAUAGGAGCUACACAAACAUCAGUACGGAGAAAUCGUUGGGAUGAAACUCCUAAAACAGAAAGAGCUACACCUGGCCAUAAUAGUGGAUGGGCUGAAACUCCUCGUACAGAUCGUGGAGGUAUUGAUUUAAUUCAAGAUACUCCAACACCAUCAGCAAGUAAAAGACGUUCUCGUUGGGAUGAAACACCUUCACAAAUGACUCCAUCAGCUACACCUGGUAGUCUUACACCUGGAGCAGCAACUCCAAAAGUAGGAGUUACACCAUCAGGAGCUUCAAUGACACCUACACCUGGUGGUAUGACACCUGGUGCUACUCCUAUGACACCCAUGGUACCACGUACUCCUGUACUUUCAAAUAGUGCUGCUACACCUAUUGGACAUACUGCCAUGGGUAUGGCAACACCGACUCCAGGUCAUUUGUUGUCAAUGACCCCUGAACAAUUACAAGCUUAUAGGUGGGAACGUGAAAUUGAUGAGCGCAAUCGUCCAUUGACUGAUGAUGAGUUAGAUGCAAUGUUUCCACCUGGUUAUAAAGUACUACAACCACCUGCUGGAUACAUACCAAUCCGAACUCCAGCCCGUAAAUUAACUGCUACACCAACACCUAUAGCUGGCACACCAACAGGGUUUUUCAUGCAAGAAUCUGUUGACCGUCCAUCUAAAUCACAAAUCGUUGAUAAUCAACCACCUGGUAAUCUUCCUAUGUUAAAACCUGAAGAUGCCCAGUAUUUUGACAAAUUGUUGAUGGAUGUCGAUGAAGAAAGUUUAACAUUAGAAGAGCAAAAAGAAAGGAAAAUUAUGAAAUUGCUUUUAAAAAUUAAAAAUGGUACACCACCAAUGAGAAAAGCUGCCUUGAGACAAGUUACAGAUAAGGCUAGAGAGUUGGGAGCUGGUCCAUUAUUUAAUCAAAUUUUGCCUUUACUUAUGUCUCCUACACUCGAAGAUCAAGAACGACAUUUGUUAGUCAAAGUUAUUGAUAGAAUUUUGUAUAAGCUUGACGACUUGGUCAGACCAUAUGUCCAUAAAAUAUUGGUUGUUAUUGAACCACUUUUAAUUGAUGAAGAUUACUAUGCUCGUGUAGAAGGACGUGAAAUUAUUUCAAAUUUAGCCAAAGCAGCUGGUUUGGCUACUAUGAUAUCUACUAUGAGACCUGAUAUUGAUAAUAUUGAUGAAUACGUACGUAAUACUACAGCUCGUGCAUUUGCUGUAGUUGCUUCAGCAUUGGGUAUUCCAUCACUUUUACCAUUUUUAAAAGCUGUGUGUAAAAGCAAGAAAUCAUGGCAAGCUCGCCAUACAGGUAUAAAAAUUGUGCAACAAAUUGCAAUCUUAAUGGGAUGUGCUAUUCUACCUCAUUUGCGUUCGUUGGUUGAAAUUAUUGAACACGGUUUGGUAGACGAGCAACAAAAAGUUCGAACUAUUACAGCUUUAGCUAUAGCUGCGUUAGCUGAAGCAGCAACACCUUAUGGUAUUGAAAGUUUUGAUUCUGUUCUUAAACCUUUAUGGAAGGGUAUAAGAACUCAUAGAGGAAAAGGUUUAGCUGCAUUUUUAAAAGCUAUUGGAUAUUUAAUACCUUUGAUGGAUGCUGAGUAUGCUAAUUACUAUACCAGAGAAGUGAUGUUGAUCUUGAUUCGAGAGUUUCAGUCGCCUGAUGAAGAAAUGAAAAAGAUUGUAUUGAAGGUUGUCAAACAAUGUUGUGGAACAGAUGGUGUGGAACCACAAUAUAUUCGUGAAGACAUUUUACCUCAUUUCUUUAGACAUUUCUGGAAUCACAGAAUGGCUCUUGAUAGACGAAAUUAUAGACAAUUAGUUGAUACUACUAUGGAAAUAGCAAAUAAAGUUGGGGCAUCAGAAAUUAUUAAUCGCAUUGUUGAUGAUUUAAAAGACGAAAAUGAACAAUAUCGUAAAAUGGUUAUGGAAACUAUCGAAAAAACAAUUGGUAAUUUAGGUGCAGCCGACAUUGAUUCAAGGCUUGAAGAACAGCUUAUUGAUGGUAUUCUUUAUGCUUUCCAAGAACAAACAAAUGAAGAUGUUGUCAUGUUGAAUGGCUUUGGCAUGAUUGUUAACCAAUUGGGUCGACGUGUUAAACCUUAUUUACCACAAAUAUGUGGUACAAUUUUAUGGAGAUUAAAUAACAAAUCAGCUAAAAUCAGACAACAAGCUGCAGAUUUGAUUGCUCGGAUAGCGUGUAUCAUGAAAAUUUGUCAAGAAGAGAAGUUGAUGGGGCAUUUGGGUUUAGUGUUGUAUGAAUACUUGGGUGAAGAAUAUCCAGAAGUGUUGGGAAGCAUUUUAGGAGCAUUAAAAGACACGAGAAAGUCCAAGAGAAUUGUAUUGAUCUUGUUGGUCGUAUUGCUGAUCGAGGACCAGAGUAUGUACCUGCCAGGGAAUGGAUGCGAAUAUGUUUUGAACUACUUGAACUAUUAAAAGCACAUAAAAAAGCAAUCCGAAGAGCAACAGUAAAUACUUUUGGUUAUAUUGCUAAAGCCAUUGGACCUCAUGAUGUAUUAGCUACACUUUUGAAUAAUUUAAAAGUACAAGAACGACAAAAUCGUGUUUGUACAACAGUUGCCAUUGCUAUAGUGGCUGAAACGUGUUCUCCAUUUACUGUA